RNAcentral lists this ribosomal RNA (580 nucleotides) under Debaryomyces sp. RNAcentral describes it as "partial large subunit ribosomal RNA". It matches the Rfam family "Eukaryotic large subunit ribosomal RNA", at positions 54 to 650 of the family's 3401-position model. Lineage: Eukaryota; Fungi; Ascomycota; Pichiomycetes; Serinales; Debaryomycetaceae. The record is from RNAcentral.
AGGAAAAGAAACCAACAGGGAUUGCCUUAGUAACGGCGAGUGAAGCGGCAAAAGCUCAAAUUUGAAAUCUGGCACCUUCGGUGUCCGAGUUGUAAUUUGAAGAAGGUAACUUUGGAGUUGGCUCUUGUCUAUGUUCCUUGGAACAGGACGUCACAGAGGGUGAGAAUCCCGUGCGAUGAGAUGCCCAAUUCUAUGUAAAGUGCUUUCGAAGAGUCGAGUUGUUUGGGAAUGCAGCUCUAAGUGGGUGGUAAAUUCCAUCUAAAGCUAAAUAUUGGCGAGAGACCGAUAGCGAACAAGUACAGUGAUGGAAAGAUGAAAAGAACUUUGAAAAGAGAGUGAAAAAGUACGUGAAAUUGUUGAAAGGGAAGGGCUUGAGAUCAGACUUGGUAUUUUGCGAUCCUUUCCUUCUUGGUUGGGUUCCUCGCAGCUUACUGGGCCAGCAUCGGUUUGGAUGGUAGGAUAAUGACUAAGGAAUGUGGCUCUACUUCGGUGGAGUGUUAUAGCCUUGGUUGAUACUGCCUGUCUAGACCGAGGACUGCGUCUUUGACUAGGAUGCUGGCAUAAUGAUCUUAAGCCACCC